This 675-nucleotide ribosomal RNA is filed under the name Salmonella enterica. Its description in RNAcentral is "bacterial SSU rRNA". It matches the Rfam family "Bacterial small subunit ribosomal RNA", at positions 858 to 1533 of the family's 1533-position model. Lineage: Bacteria; Pseudomonadati; Pseudomonadota; Gammaproteobacteria; Enterobacterales; Enterobacteriaceae. RNAcentral also lists the same sequence under 1 other name. The record is from RNAcentral.
CGUUAAGUAGACCGCCUGGGGAGUACGGCCGCAAGGUUAAAACUCAAAUGAAUUGACGGGGGCCCGCACAAGCGGUGGAGCAUGUGGUUUAAUUCGAUGCAACGCGAAGAACCUUACCUGGUCUUGACAUCCACAGAAGAAUCCAGAGAUGGAUUUGUGCCUUCGGGAACUGUGAGACAGGUGCUGCAUGGCUGUCGUCAGCUCGUGUUGUGAAAUGUUGGGUUAAGUCCCGCAACGAGCGCAACCCUUAUCCUUUGUUGCCAGCGGUUAGGCCGGGAACUCAAAGGAGACUGCCAGUGAUAAACUGGAGGAAGGUGGGGAUGACGUCAAGUCAUCAUGGCCCUUACGACCAGGGCUACACACGUGCUACAAUGGCGCAUACAAAGAGAAGCGACCUCGCGAGAGCAAGCGGACCUCAUAAAGUGCGUCGUAGUCCGGAUUGGAGUCUGCAACUCGACUCCAUGAAGUCGGAAUCGCUAGUAAUCGUGGAUCAGAAUGCCACGGUGAAUACGUUCCCGGGCCUUGUACACACCGCCCGUCACACCAUGGGAGUGGGUUGCAAAAGAAGUAGGUAGCUUAACCUUCGGGAGGGCGCUUACCACUUUGUGAUUCAUGACUGGGGUGAAGUCGUAACAAGGUAACCGUAGGGGAACCUGCGGUUGGAUCACCUCCUUA